CCGCCGUUCCCUACGCCGGCCUGCGCCCGCCCGGCCCCGGCCCCGGCGCCCGCCCCCGAUGCCCGGAGCUGGGGCUACCCCCGGCCGCCCCGCUCCCUGGCGAGGCGCGUCCUAGCGGCGAGGCGCUGCCGCGCCGCCAUGUUCUGCGCGCGCCCCAACGGCCGCCGCCGCCCCUGGCGCGUGAGGAGAGCUGCCGAUAAUUGCUUGCAGAUCUUGGUCUACCAUUACUGUUGUUAUUCUGUUUUCCGAUUAAACUUCUGAAGCAGAGAAAAUAGGCGGAAAGGUACUUGAAGAUAAUAGUUUGGCUUUUGGUGACAUCGUCUUGACUUUGUAUAUGUCCUUAACGUGCACAGCCUAGAGAAGUGGAGCAUUGCUGGCUUAGGGACCUGGUCUCCUCGUUGCAAGAAUUUCUGAGGCUCUUCUGGAAUCAGGUGGGAGCCAAACUGAGGGUGYGUUAUUCCUUAAAACAAGCAUGGGAACUUUUAAGGAGGUUCCAUGUUGCAGGGGUUUCUCUGACAUUUCAGAUCUUUGCCUUUGUAACUGUAAGUGUUCUUCAUUCUGGUCAGCAUGCRCGAAAUCAAAUAAAUUAUUUCAGAAAGACGACCCUUUCCUUUUGCUGUGUAUACUGAAGUGAUGGCACACUUUACUAUAUAACUUCUUAAUUUACAAAAUGCUCUAAGAAUCAUCAGAGAAAAAAUGCCAUACAAAGGGAUACCAUAAUGAUGAGGAUGAUAUGGUUAUGAAAAUUUUGGCUUGGAAACUGAUGUUAGCAUGUUAUCAGACAAAAAGGAAAUAAUUUUGAAUUUACAUGAAAUUUGAGACAAGAAAUUUUAGCUCUGCUGGAAAGCUGUAUGUUGGAUUCUAUUCAAUGUACUUUUAGAAGAGGAAGGAAAAGUCAUAUUAAGCCAUUUUAGUAUCUGAAUAUAGUAUAUCAUUUUAGAUUAACACUUUUAACAUUUCCAGG
This 964-nucleotide long non-coding RNA is filed under the name Apteryx rowi (Okarito brown kiwi). RNAcentral's name for it is "lncRNA (ENSARWG00000002779.1)". The record is from RNAcentral. Lineage: Eukaryota; Metazoa; Chordata; Aves; Apterygiformes; Apterygidae.